This 529-nucleotide ribosomal RNA is filed under the name uncultured bacterium. RNAcentral describes it as "bacterial SSU rRNA". It matches the Rfam family "Bacterial small subunit ribosomal RNA", at positions 9 to 521 of the family's 1533-position model. The record is from RNAcentral.
GAGUUUGAUCCUGGCUCAGGACGAACGCUGGCGGCGUGCCUAAUACAUGCAAGUAGAACGCUGAAGAGAGGAGCUUGCUCUUCUUGGAUGAGUUGCGAACGGGUGAGUAACGCGUAGGUAACCUGCCUGGUAGCGGGGGAUAACUAUUGGAAACGAUAGCUAAUACCGCAUAAAAUUGAUUAUCGCAUGAUAAUUAAUUGAAAGAUGCAAUUGCAUCACUACCAGAUGGACCUGCGUUGUAUUAGCUAGUUGGUGAGGUAACGGCUCACCAAGGCGACGAUACAUAGCCGACCUGAGAGGGUGAUCGGCCACACUGGGACUGAGACACGGCCCAGACUCCUACGGGAGGCAGCAGUAGGGAAUCUUCGGCAAUGGGGGGAACCCUGACCGAGCAACGCCGCGUGAGUGAAGAAGGUUUUCGGAUCGUAAAGCUCUGUUGUAAGAGAAGAACGGGUGUGAGAGUGGAAAGUUCACACUGUGACGGUAUCUUACCAGAAAGGGACGGCUAACUACGUGCCAGCGCCGCGGU